AGCAUACUCUGUCACAGACAUGUUUACUUCCUUCAACUCAAGGAACUCGAUCUCCUUCUUCCCGCGAACAUCUUCCGGAAAGUAUCUUCUCAGGAACUCCCUCCUGAAAACAGCCCAAGUCACAACAGCUCCCUCCUGCCCAAGGGUAGGCAGAAGAGCAACCCACCAGUCAUCAGCUUCCUCGGCUAGCUGAUGAGUACCAAACCGCACCUUCUG
Molecule: long non-coding RNA, 216 nt
Filed under: Medicago truncatula (barrel medic)
Lineage: Eukaryota; Viridiplantae; Streptophyta; Magnoliopsida; Fabales; Fabaceae
Description: long non-coding RNA (MTRU_LNC004938)
Source: RNAcentral